This 580-nucleotide ribosomal RNA is filed under the name uncultured bacterium. RNAcentral's name for it is "bacterial SSU rRNA". It matches the Rfam family "Bacterial small subunit ribosomal RNA", at positions 912 to 1500 of the family's 1533-position model. The record is from RNAcentral.
GACGGGGGCCCGCACAAGCGGAGGAACAUGUGGUUUAAUUCGAUGAUACGCGAGGAACCUUACCCGGGCUCGAACGCUGCAGGAAGGAUCAAGAGAUUGUGACGCCCUUCGGGGCCUGCAUCGAGGUGCUGCAUGGUUGUCGUCAGCUCGUGUCGUGAGAUGUUGGCUCAAGUGCCAUAACGAGCGCAACCCUUGCCGCCAGUUACCAGCAAGUAAAGUUGGGGACUCUGGCGGGACUGCCACCGCAAGGUGUGAGGAGGGAGGGGAUGACGUCAAAUCAGCACGGCCCUUACGUCCGGGGCGACACACGUGUUACAAUGGCGGUUACAGAGGGAUGCCACCUGGCGACAGGGAGCGAAUCUCAAAAAGCCGCCUCAGUUCGGAUCGAAGUCUGCAACCCGACUUCCGUGAAGCUGGAUUCGCUAGUAAUCGCGCAUCAGCCAUGGCGCGGUGAAUACGUUCCCGGGCCUUGUACACACCGCCCGUCAAGCCAUGAAAGCCGGGGGUGCCUGAAGUUCGUGACCGCAAGGAGCGACCUAGGGCAAAACCGGUAAUUGGGGCUAAGUCGUAACAAGGUAGG